This 87-nucleotide transfer RNA is filed under the name Balneola sp. EhC07. It matches the Rfam family "tRNA". Rfam says of the family: Transfer RNA (tRNA) molecules are approximately 80 nucleotides in length. Their secondary structure includes four short double-helical elements and three loops (D, anti-codon, and T loops). Lineage: Bacteria; Pseudomonadati; Balneolota; Balneolia; Balneolales; Balneolaceae. The record is from Rfam by way of RNAcentral. RNAcentral also lists the same sequence under 5 other names.
GCCCGAGUGGUGGAAUUGGUAGACACGUUGGACUUAAAAUCCAAUUCUAAUUAAAUUGGAGUGCCGGUUCGAGUCCGGCCUCGGGUA